CAGGGUGCUUGCACCGCUGACGAGUGGCGAACGGGUGAGUAAUGCAUCGGAAUGUACCGUGUAAUGGGGGAUAGCUCGGCGAAAGCCGGAUUAAUACCGCAUACGCCCUGAGGGGGAAAGUGGGGGACCGUAAGGCCUCACGUUAUACGAGCAGCCGAUGUCUGAUUAGCUAGUUGGUGAGGUAAAGGCUCACCAAGGCGUCGAUCAGUAGCGGGUCUGAGAGGAUGAUCCGCCACACUGGGACUGAGACACGGCCCAGACUCCUACGGGAGGCAGCAGUGGGGAAUUUUGGACAAUGGGCGCAAGCCUGAUCCAGCCAUGCCGCGUGUCUGAAGAAGGCCUUCGGGUUGUAAAGGACUUUUGUCCGGGAGCAAAUCCUAGUGGUUAAUAACCGCUGGGUCUGAGAGUACCGGAAGAAUAAGCACCGGCUAACUACGUGCCAGCAGCCGCGGUAAUACGUAGGG
Molecule: ribosomal RNA, 464 nt
Filed under: Chromobacterium violaceum
Lineage: Bacteria; Pseudomonadati; Pseudomonadota; Betaproteobacteria; Neisseriales; Chromobacteriaceae
Description: bacterial SSU rRNA
Rfam family: Bacterial small subunit ribosomal RNA
Source: RNAcentral